AUAAACUAGAUUUUAUCCCGCGGUACACCGCGGUGACAAUUUAUCUUUUUAAAGUUAGUAUAAUUUUUCUUUUGCAAAUUGUAUCUAUCUAUAAUAUAUUUUUAUUUUAUAGUUUACAAUUGUUAUUAAGUAACGUCCUGCCAAACCCAUCCCGCCAAACCCGUCCCGUAAAAAAACUAUUUAUUUAUAUUAAUGUUGAUCUUAUUUAUGAUAUGUUUAUAAAUCAUUGUCUAAAUAUUUUUGUCGAUGCGGAACGUUGAACCCACACAUUUUUUGCUAAUAGGAUAAUAUAUGUUCAUUUUUAAAAUUUUGAAUCAUAUAUUAUAUAAUGAUGUUAAAAAAUUGUAAUAUAUCAAACUUUUUAUAAGUUUAAAUAUUAAUAAUGUUUUAUAAAUUUUAAAUAUAUAAAUAAUAAUAUUUAAAAAAUUAA
RNAcentral lists this small RNA (430 nucleotides) under Arabidopsis thaliana (thale cress). RNAcentral's name for it is "ATSL155680". Lineage: Eukaryota; Viridiplantae; Streptophyta; Magnoliopsida; Brassicales; Brassicaceae. The record is from RNAcentral.